ACUGCUCAUAACACGUGGACAACCUAACCUACAGAGGGGAAUAACCCCGGGAAACUGGGGAUAAUACCCCAUAGACUAUGGAUGCUGGAAUGCUUCGUAGUUGAAGGGUCCGCCGCUGUAGGAUGGGUCUGCGGCCGAUUAGGUUGUUGUUGGGGUAACGGCCCAACAAGCCUGUAAUCGGUACGGGUUGUGGGAGCAAGAGCCCGGAGAUGGAUUCUGAGACACGAAUCCAGGCCCUACGGGGCGCAGCAGGCGCGAAAACUUUACAAUGCGGGAAACCGUGAUAAGGGAACUCUGAGUGCCCGUAAAAUCGGGCUGUCCAUCAAUUUAAAAAACUGGUGAAGAAAGGGCCGGGCAAGACCGGUGCCAGCCGCCGCGGUAAUACCGGCGGCUCGAGUGGUGGCCACUAUUACUGGGCUUAAAGCGUUCGUAGCUGGUCUGUUAAGUCUCUGGGGAAAUCUUCCGGCUUAACCGGAAGGCGUCUCAGGGAUACUGGCAGACUAAGGACCGGGAGAGGUGAGAGGUACUCCAGGGGUAGGAGUGAAAUCCUGUAAUCCUUGGGGGACCACCUGUGGCGAAGGCGUCUCACCAGAACGGCUCCCACAGUGAGGGACGAAAGCUGGGGGAGCAAACCGGAUUAGAUACCCGGGUAGUCCCAGCUGUAAACGAUGCGCGUUAGGUGUAUCGGUGACCACGAGUCACCGAGGUGCCGAAGAGAAAUCGUGAAACGUGCCGCCUGGGAAGUACUGUCGCACGGCUGAUACUAAAGGAAUUGGCGGGGAG
RNAcentral lists this ribosomal RNA (783 nucleotides) under uncultured archaeon. Its description in RNAcentral is "bacterial SSU rRNA". It matches the Rfam family "Archaeal small subunit ribosomal RNA", at positions 85 to 875 of the family's 1478-position model. The record is from RNAcentral.